UUAAGGAGUUGGAAUAUAAAAAAAAAUCUUUUACUAUUAACGGUAGAUACUGCAAAUAUUUUGAGAAUACCAUAUAAAGGUAUAAAGCCCUCUUUACUCAAACGUAAAAUACGUUUUCAUAUCUUCCCAUUUCCUACCUUAUUAACAUUAAAUAAACCAUAUUAAACCUGAUCUCAUUUUCUUCUUUCCUCGUCUAUAUAUGUCUUUCCAUCUCCUCUCUUUGCGUUGUUCAACUACCCUACUAAACAUAUAUCAUUGCUACUGUGAUAUGUUUGUAAGAAUCUGCUUAAUAUAAUAUUAAAAAUAUAUUAAAGAGAUAUCUUUUAUCGCUUAUAUCUAACCACUUUAAACGAUAGAUAAAAAGAACAAAUUGAGCAUUUUCACUCAAACUUCAAUAAUCUUUUAUUGAAUUAUUCAAAGGGUAUUAUGGCUAGUGAACAAUCAACAAAUCAGGGCGAUGAUAGAGAAGCUUCAUUAUUUGAGUUAAUGGGAUUUCCGGAUAAUAUGAAACUACGAAUUGCCAAUGAAGAAUGGGCCACCAUUUAUCCAGAUAAUAUUUAUAAAGAUCAGCCGUUCCCUUUAAAAGUAAAGAAAACCGACGUGUUAAAAGACUGCUGUUUCGACGUUAUUGAUAAUAUUGCAGUUUCUACAACAGAUAAAGAUAUUUUGGAGAAAUCAGAAGAGAAUCUUGUUAAAUAUUUAACAAAAGUUUGUUUUGAUGAACUUAAAAAAGUUAGGAUAUUGUUCAGAUGGUUAUCAUCUUUAAAACUACCCGAAUUAUCGUUAGAUAAUAAAAUAGAGAAAUCCGUAUCAUACUAUCUCAAUCAAUUAUAUAGAGAAGAAACAGAUUAUAGUACAGUCUUCCAAAGAUUAUGCAGCUUAGCUAAUUUGAAGUGUUUUAUUUGCGAAGGUCGUAUUAGAACAGAUACGGAUUCGAAUAGAAAGAAUGAUGAUAAAUAUAUUAAAAGUAGAUGGAAUGUAGUUCGCAUCAAAGAUAAUUGGUACCUGUGCAAUCCACAAUUUGCCUGUUCUCACGGAGUUAAAUACGAUAAAGCAUGGUGCCUUAUAAAUGAUGAUGGAACAUUGGAGGAGAUGGAAGAAAAAUUUGAUGAAAAAGCUGAAUAUAAAACAUAUUACAAUUACAAUGAUUACUACUUUCUUACCAAUCCGGAGGAGCUUAUUUACACACAUUUACCCGAUAAUCCAAAAUUUCAACUCUUAGCUAGGAAAGUUACUUUUAACGAGUUUGAGGAAAUGGUUUGUCUUAGGCAACCUUUCUUCGACGCUGGCUUAACAAUUAUCUCUCAUCCAAAACGAAUUAUCGAGACAUCUGAUCCAAAACUAGAGAUAUUUAUAGGGACAAAUAGCGAUAUUCCAGUCUCAUUUAGACACCAAAUUUGCCUUUUAAAUGAUAGCAAUUCUGGGGAGAAUUCUACAAUAAAAGCGGAACCAAAUGUUGAUCUACAAUCAUAUGUAACACUAUUCCAAGAUAGGCUCAGAUUUAGGGUCGUUAUUCGAUUGAGACUUCCCAAGAGUGGUAUUUAUAAAUUAGCUAUAUUCCUUCGUAACGAAAAAGAUGAAAUUCUACAACGGAGCGUCUAUAAAAGUGCAUGCGACUAUGAAUUGCAUUAUACAAGAAAGACUGAUGAUGUAAACAUUCACUCAUUCCCAAUAACUGCAAAAACGGAAUUGGGUCCAAAUUCUGAUAUGGAAAAAUUUAAUUUCUCAAAUAUAUCGCCAACAAUUGGUAUGAUAGAUACAGAUGAAGAUGGAUAUGCCGAGAUCAAUUUCGACGGUGAUGAUAAAAUAUUCAAUAUAUUUUCUAAAUUGGAAAACCAACAAAUUGGUUUGGAAGACCUAAAAAAUAGUCUAUUGUCUACUUUCGAGAAUGGUAGAGCUAGUAUUCGUGUAUUCGCUCCGCAAGAAGGUGAAUACGCCCUAAACAUUUACGCAAAGAAGAGAGAUGAAAUUGAUAAGGAAAUGGAUCCAGUUUGUUCAUAUAUUAUCAAUUGUAAAACUAAACCGAAAAGGAAUAUAAAAUUUCCACAUGAAUUUAACAGGAAAAUUGGUAUACAGGAAAAAUUUAUUGAAUUUGGAUUAAGGACUGAAUCGGAUUUUCAAUCAUUUCAAAAACUUAAUAAGAAAUCAACGCAAUUUAAAAUUUAUAAGUCAAAAGCUUGUAAAUUUAAUUUAGAGCUUUUACAUUGGGAUUUGUACGGCGCUGAAAAUAUUAUUAAUAAUUGUGCAUACUGCAAAAACGAAAUGGAUUAUUCAACAAUUUCUAUCAAGUUUCCAUCGCCUGGGAUUUAUAAAUUGACUGUUUUUGUCGAUCAAGUGCCUGACGGAAGUCAACUGUUACCUGUUUACAUUUGCUAUUUUCUUGUAUUAGACGAAAAAGAAGUCAAAAAGAAAGAAGAUGAAUCAUCAAAUAAUUACGACAACAACGAAAAGAAUAGCCCGAGGAAUAGGGAAGAAGAUUGGGAAAGUAAAAUGGAUGAAAUCCUUGGUGUAACAGAUUUUAUGGAAAUGAAUGAAGUUGACGGUGUGUUUAGGGAAGGUGAAAAAGUUGGUUUUACAAAUAACAAAGUAAGUCUAGUGGAAAAAAAAACGACUGAAAAGAAGCCGAAUUUAAAGGAUUCUUGUAGGAAAAACACCGCGGACAAAAGUAAAUCUACUUUAAAUAGAUUGCAAACGGCUUCUCCUUUUCCUUCGUCCAAAACACGAUCAGUUAAAAGUGCUAGAGAUACUUCGCAAAGAGAAACUAGCGCUAAAUCCUCAGUUUCGAGACAAUUAUUCGAUAAAAAUACUGUAAAUAUACCAGAUAAAAGUAGACCUUCAACUGCUAAAGAUUCUUCUGUAAACGUUGCCAAAUUAAAAUCAGACCUUUUAAAGGCAAUUGCCGAAACGAAUUACGAUUUAUUAAAAGAACUUAUAAAAAUGACUUCUGGUAAAGAAUAUAUGAAAGAACUAAGUAAAGAAAUAACAAUUGGAAUGGAAAUGUUACGAACGAUGGAUAAGAUAAAAAGAAUUCAAUUGAAAAUAUUAAAGAUUGAUCCGAGAUGUAUAAGCGAAAUUAGAAAAUAUAGACAACCUCCAGAAAUUGUACACGCAGUUAUGAAAUCGACAUUAUUGAUCUUAGGAAUACCCGAAUCGAAUACUAGCGAAUGGACAAAUUGCCAAAAGUACAUUUCCGUAGUUAGUUCCGAUGGUCUAUUUAGUAAAAUACGAAGUAUAGAAAUACCAAAGGUGAAUGCAGAUGUUAUUUCAAAAGCGGAACAAGUUUUAAAGAAUAUUUCGUUGAACGAAGUAAAGAGAACAAGUGCAGGAGUUGCAGCUUUCUACGUAUGGAAUAAGAGUAAUAUUUAUCAUUAUAAGAGCUUAAGAGUAAAUGAGCUUUGUUAGCAAAAAUAUAUCUACUGCAUACAGUUUCAUCCAAUCGGUUGUACAUAUUGUUAAAGAAACAAAACUUACGUAUUAUCAUUUGAAUGAAUUGAAUCAGUGUUCAAGUUUAUUUAAACUGUUCAAAAGAGAGUGUUUUGUUCCAAAGAAAAUGAAAACCUCUUCAUUCUUUAAUUAAUAUGUCUAAUGAAUUUAAAUAAUGAAAAAUGAAAAUAUACAGUUAAUUUUAAUUAA
Molecule: unclassified non-coding RNA, 3633 nt
Filed under: Dimorphilus gyrociliatus
Lineage: Eukaryota; Metazoa; Annelida; Polychaeta; Dinophilidae
Description: dgyrCDS13042
Source: RNAcentral